This is a non-coding RNA of Oryctolagus cuniculus (rabbit), 2342 nucleotides long. The record is from RefSeq and is a predicted model, not a curated record. Lineage: Eukaryota; Metazoa; Chordata; Mammalia; Lagomorpha; Leporidae.
AUCUGUGCGGGAGGCUGCAGGGUGGCCUGAGCAGACAGAGGAGACAUGUAUGGCCCUAAGAAAGGUGCGGACCUUCUGUGGGUCUGAGCCUGGUCUGAAAGAACGUCUGACACUUAGUAGGACCUUGUUCUGUGUUACUCCCAGCCCACCCUGCCUCCUCUGCCCCACAAAACACAGGACCUGAAACAGCACCUGGAAAUGUAGCAGGACAUGAAUGUUGGUCCCAUCUCAUCCUGUGCUUUUUUUUUUCCUGUCUCCUGUGUUCCUUCUGGUUUGCCAUUACUGAGGCAGCUCCUUACUGAGCUUCAGAAAUAAGUCACACAGAAGAGAAAGCAUACUAACAGGAUGGCUGGAUGACAAUGGAGCCGCCGAAGGAGGGUCCCAGUUACUCAGCCCUACUUACUGAGCACAGGACUGUGGCUGUAGUCCCUGUCCAGGACAUGUAUGUAAUUGCUACGUCUGGCUUUAUCCUUGUCCUCCACAUGACAGCUCCGAUGAACAGAACGAUACUACUGUUUUUGCCAUCACUGAGUACGCACGCAAACACCCCUCAGAUGCACACAGCACCUUGCAGCGUUCUUGUCCUCCAGCUUGCCCGGCUAUCUGAAAGUCCAGCUAUUGGAAAAUGGAAUUACAAGGAGAGUAACCGAGAAGGGGAGAGACAGAGAUCUUCUAUUCACGGGUCAACUCUGGAAAUGGCAGAAGCCUGGAAUGGCAUCUAGAUCUCCCAGAAUAACUCCAAAGACUCACACACUGUAACGACGGAAGCAGCCAGACACAGAAGAGCACCUGUUGGGUGAAGACUUUUACUUGUAACGUCCCAGUGGAGUUGGGGAAGGAGAGGAAAAUCAGCACCACGCUCCUCUCGUCUGAAGGUGCACAGCGUCCUCUUCCAUCCCUCCAGGUAACCUCAGACAAGCAGGUGCCCUCUGAGCCGCUGAAAGGUGACUUACUGCACACAGGAACAGGGAGCGGCCCUGAUUCUGCCUGGGCCCACACACCCCCAGGCUCAGCCACUGAGGGCUCCCCUGCCCUACCUCCAGGUGCGCUGCACAGGAGCAGCCCUCCCUCUGCUCACUGCAGUACCGACCCAUCCCCCCUCCCUCCCCUGGCCUCCUCAACGUCCCCUGAUGGCGCCCACACUGUCUUGUCCUCACCAGUCCAUUCCCACAUCCUGGCCAGCGUCUCCUGACAACAAGAAUCAGAUCGCGUCUCUCCCAGACUCUAACCCUCCUCACUCAGAAUCCUAGCUGAAUCCUGACCUGGCCCAGUGCACAUGGCUCCCAUCGGCCCCUUCACGUCCCCUCCCAGUGAGUGCACCGUGUCCGCCAGGCUGCAGCCAUACCAGCUUUCCCUCUGCUACUGGCCCAAUUGGUGCCUCACACUGGGUAGUGACACUGGUAAAAUUAUCCGUCCGUGCCUGGAUGCUUGUCACUUGAGACUCAGCUCGAGAGUCACUUCAGAAAGCACUGCCCUCACACCCCUUCCAUUCUAAUCCUGCUCCCAGGCAUCCCCUACCAUAUCUGUGCCUGUUUUCUUCAAAGCGGAAAUCAGGAAAUGAGAUCACCACUGCAACUGGGUGUGGUUACUGCUGACUGCCAGUUCUGCCCAGCUGGACUGACAGCUCGAGGGACACAGCCUCUUGUCCCCUGUGCUGUUCCCAGUGCCCCGAUCACAGCCUCCCCUGCACACUGCUGACUGAAGGUUCCUCAGGGGAAGACCUCUCACCUGUCAGACACACCAGAGAGGACACGAUCUUCACAGCAAAGUAGCAGGGGCGACCAACGACGUAAUUACACGUCAAAGUCCAAGUAUGAGGAAGACCUCGUACCAAAUCCUCAGCUUUGAAUUUCCAACCUGGGAGAGAGUUAGAACCAACUGGAAAAAAUCACUAAAUAAAUGGAUAGGUCCCACCUCCCUCGUACUGACUGCAGAACCUUAUGGUGGACCCAAAUAUCUGAAACCCAGUAUGUAUCCCCAUGGGGCUGGCACUGUGGUGUUAGGCAUCCACCUGUGGUGCUGGCAUCCCAUAUGGGUGAGGGAGUGCAGAGAAACACUUUGAUCUACUGCAUGUUCCAAACAUGCAGUAGUAACGGUACUUAACAUACUGCUUAAUUCAAAAUCCUAUACAUUUCACGGUUUUGGAAAUUUUGAGAAACUUAGUGCAGAGAAAGGAUUACAAGUAUAUUUGUACGUACAUGGGCAGUGGUGUUAGGGGUACUGCAGUUUGUAAUAAAUAGUGACGUACCUGAAUUUACAUCAAAGAAUACAGGUAAAAUAAACCUGCUGGCAGCAAAGGAUGAAACAGUCGGGUGCUGUGAAAAAAAAAAAAAAAAAGCAAA